GCGGUCCGCCUUUGGGUGAGAACUGUUCGGCCGCGCCUUUCCUUGUGGGGAACCAGUAUGCGCUUUGCGGUGUGUGCUGGCAAUCCACAACUUUUACUUUGAAAAAAUUAGAGUGUUCAAAGCAGGCAUACGCUCGGAUACAUUAGCAUGGAAUAAUGGAAUAGGACGUGUGGUUCUAUU
RNAcentral lists this ribosomal RNA (180 nucleotides) under uncultured Glomeromycotina. RNAcentral describes it as "partial small subunit ribosomal RNA". The stretch from base 83 to 180 matches the Rfam family "Eukaryotic small subunit ribosomal RNA", at positions 741 to 841 of the family's 1831-position model. The record is from RNAcentral. Lineage: Eukaryota; Fungi; Glomeromycota.